RNAcentral lists this ribosomal RNA (1550 nucleotides) under Enterobacter roggenkampii. RNAcentral's name for it is "bacterial SSU rRNA". It matches the Rfam family "Bacterial small subunit ribosomal RNA". Lineage: Bacteria; Pseudomonadati; Pseudomonadota; Gammaproteobacteria; Enterobacterales; Enterobacteriaceae. The record is from RNAcentral.
AAAUUGAAGAGUUUGAUCAUGGCUCAGAUUGAACGCUGGCGGCAGGCCUAACACAUGCAAGUCGAGCGGUAACACAGGGAGCUUGCUCCCGGGUGACGAGCGGCGGACGGGUGAGUAAUGUCUGGGAAACUGCCUGAUGGAGGGGGAUAACUACUGGAAACGGUAGCUAAUACCGCAUAAUGUCGCAAGACCAAAGAGGGGGACCUUCGGGCCUCUUGCCAUCAGAUGUGCCCAGAUGGGAUUAGCUAGUAGGUGGGGUAACGGCUCACCUAGGCGACGAUCCCUAGCUGGUCUGAGAGGAUGACCAGCCACACUGGAACUGAGACACGGUCCAGACUCCUACGGGAGGCAGCAGUGGGGAAUAUUGCACAAUGGGCGCAAGCCUGAUGCAGCCAUGCCGCGUGUAUGAAGAAGGCCUUCGGGUUGUAAAGUACUUUCAGCGGGGAGGAAGGUGUUGAGGUUAAUAACCUCAGCGAUUGACGUUACCCGCAGAAGAAGCACCGGCUAACUCCGUGCCAGCAGCCGCGGUAAUACGGAGGGUGCAAGCGUUAAUCGGAAUUACUGGGCGUAAAGCGCACGCAGGCGGUCUGUCAAGUCGGAUGUGAAAUCCCCGGGCUCAACCUGGGAACUGCAUUCGAAACUGGCAGGCUAGAGUCUUGUAGAGGGGGGUAGAAUUCCAGGUGUAGCGGUGAAAUGCGUAGAGAUCUGGAGGAAUACCGGUGGCGAAGGCGGCCCCCUGGACAAAGACUGACGCUCAGGUGCGAAAGCGUGGGGAGCAAACAGGAUUAGAUACCCUGGUAGUCCACGCCGUAAACGAUGUCGACUUGGAGGUUGUGCCCUUGAGGCGUGGCUUCCGGAGCUAACGCGUUAAGUCGACCGCCUGGGGAGUACGGCCGCAAGGUUAAAACUCAAAUGAAUUGACGGGGGCCCGCACAAGCGGUGGAGCAUGUGGUUUAAUUCGAUGCAACGCGAAGAACCUUACCUACUCUUGACAUCCAGAGAACUUUCCAGAGAUGGAUUGGUGCCUUCGGGAACUCUGAGACAGGUGCUGCAUGGCUGUCGUCAGCUCGUGUUGUGAAAUGUUGGGUUAAGUCCCGCAACGAGCGCAACCCUUAUCCUUUGUUGCCAGCGGUCCGGCCGGGAACUCAAAGGAGACUGCCAGUGAUAAACUGGAGGAAGGUGGGGAUGACGUCAAGUCAUCAUGGCCCUUACGAGUAGGGCUACACACGUGCUACAAUGGCGCAUACAAAGAGAAGCGACCUCGCGAGAGCAAGCGGACCUCAUAAAGUGCGUCGUAGUCCGGAUUGGAGUCUGCAACUCGACUCCAUGAAGUCGGAAUCGCUAGUAAUCGUAGAUCAGAAUGCUACGGUGAAUACGUUCCCGGGCCUUGUACACACCGCCCGUCACACCAUGGGAGUGGGUUGCAAAAGAAGUAGGUAGCUUAACCUUCGGGAGGGCGCUUACCACUUUGUGAUUCAUGACUGGGGUGAAGUCGUAACAAGGUAACCGUAGGGGAACCUGCGGUUGGAUCACCUCCUUACCUUAAAGAA